RNAcentral lists this ribosomal RNA (426 nucleotides) under uncultured bacterium. RNAcentral's name for it is "partial 16S ribosomal RNA". It matches the Rfam family "Bacterial small subunit ribosomal RNA", at positions 354 to 796 of the family's 1533-position model. The record is from RNAcentral.
GUGAGGAAUUUUCCGCAAUGGGCGAAAGCCUGACGGAGCAAUGCCGCGUGAAGGAUGAAGGCCUAUGGGUUGUAAACUUCUUUUCUCAGAAAAGAAUUAUGACGGUAUCUGAGGAAUAAGCAUCGGCUAACUCUGUGCCAGCAGCCGCGGUAAGACAGAGGAUGCAAGCGUUAUCCGGAAUGAUUGGGCGUAAAGCGUCUGUAGGUUGUUUAAAAAGUAUUCUGUCAAAGAUUAGGGCUUAACCCUAGAUAGGCAGAAUAAACUUUUAAGCUAGAGUUUGGUAGAGGGAGAAGGAAUUCCCGGUGGAGCGGUGAAAUGCGUAGAUAUCGGGAGGAACACCAAAGGCGAAGGCACUCUGCUGGGCCAAUACUAACACUGAGAGACGAAAGCGAGGGGAGCAAAUGGGAUUAGAAACCCUGGUAGUCC